CCCACAAUAUUCUCAGUGAGGCACACAGCAGCGUGUGUAUGGUGUGAAGAGCACUCUCCUCCUCAGAGCCUGCUACCUCCUCAUUUCAUUUUAAGACCGCUUAUUUUUUUUAACCAGGAGAGACAAUGAAUAUUUGUUGCCAACUCACUUUCACAACACCUAGGAUUUCACAGACCGCCACCAAAUCCUCUCCCUUCUCCCAUUUGUUGUAGCAUCAUUGGAAGUCCAAGUUAUCCAACUGCAGCUUGCUGGAAGCUGUUCCCAUACCUCUGAGUAUCUCUGUCAUUCAUCACUGCGUCUCUCCAAUCCUGCCAAUAUUCCACUUGAAUGGAGGAAGCCAGAACUGUGCAUGUGUCCAGCUGCUCAUUACUGAGACAUCCUUCUGGGACUCCACACAGCUGGCCUCAUCUUUACCACUUCAAACAAAGCUUUCUCAGUGUAUCUUAAGCUGAUUCAAGACAUACCCAAGGACAGACAAUGAGAAGAUGCAGAAGUGGUCUUGUACAAGCUUACUCUGACCAACUGGCAAGUACUCAGCACUGAAUAGUUGCCCAAACACCUCUGCUGGACUCUCUGGACUGAAUGCACCCCAGCUCAUCCUGUCCUCUGGUACCUGACCAAGAAAGACCAUCUAAGGACUCUAAUUCUCCUACCAGAGCAUCUUCUGUAUUCCUUGGUGUUGUUAUCUGGAGCUCAGCUGCCGAAAAGCUUGGAGGACUUUUCUUAGACAAGGGAAUAUCUUUUUACAAUAGCCUUUCUCAAAUCGCAUUACAUACAGACAUAAACCCCAAAAUAAAUGUGAAAGGGGAAAAAGCAAAGGCUGGAUGAGAGGAAAGAGAGCUGCACCCACAGCAGCUGAUGAAGGUUAAGCAUCAUGUGAGCAGAGACCAUCUCUCUGUUGUGUGUUUAUACACUGAUUAGUGCAAAUAACCCCUGGUCCACCACCACAAUCCCAAAGUACCACUACAACAUGCAGACAACCUGUAACCAGUCACAGACUUUUAAAGAUGUGUCUGCCAGCGUUGCACGCUUCUCUUGUUACUUUCUUUAUAAUAAACAGUCUUUAAAUGAACAUGCUGGCGUUUGUUCUCCUAAGACCAAAAUGCAAACCUCUAUGAAAUGAUAAAACAGGUGAAUGACUUGAACAAGAACCAAAGAGAAUGAGGUGCACAAUACAUACAUCACUGAGAGUUAAAAUACCUGGGCUGCUCACACCUGACAAACCUCUAGAUGCUUUUCUGCAUGAGGCAUUUUGGCAGAUGCUACCAAUUUACAGUGGAGUGCUGCUACCAUAUAGUCCAAUGCUGCUCCCGUUCUCCUGAGUGCUUUUAAGUGCUCAGGGUGAUAAUGGAUCUAUUCACAUGGUUAGGGACUGUGGACUCAGGCCUGCAGCUCCACGUUCCCCAGAACAAUGCCUGAAUGUUUAUCCUUGACCAAGGUGUCCUUAAAUUUCACAUAUGUGAUUUGAAAAGAAGACUUUGCCUGGAAGAUGUAUCUGUAAGCUGCCCAGCUGUUCCCUAACCCAGCUAUUACCCAUGUAAGCACCCAUGAUUUUGAUAUCUGACUUAGUUCAACCCUCUGCAUCCCGUAAGAUGUGCCAAGGAAAAAAUGAGAGAUACACACAAUUUCCCAUCUCCAGCAUUCCUUUCACUCUCCAGAUAUUACUUGUCACCUCUGCAGUCUUUAACACCUUGAAUCACCAGCUCCCUCUUCUGCACAUAGUGAAAUCCCUGCGCAAGCAUGCCAAGGGAGCAUGCACACACUGCAGAAGAUGUUGAGCUCACCUGUGCAAGACCCCAGGUGGCAGAGAAGAGGGUCAAGGUGGGAAAAGAGCACAAUUGGAGAAUUUGCUGUAAUGUAAGAUGCUCCUGUCAUUCCCCAUAGCUGCAGCAGUCAGCAGCAGACAACGCUAAAUGCGCUGGGCUACAAGUGGACCACAUGAGGGUACUGUAUGGGCUCUGUGCAUGCAGGGGUGGGAAAUGGAGAUGGAUUCUGCCCACUGACUCUCUGCCUUACAAUAAAUGACUGCCCGCCGUAGCAGCUUGAGCUUGGUAUUUAAAUGUCUUGAAUCACUGUUACAUCUGAAAUCCCCACGAUACUUUGAAGAAGUAAAUCACUCUCUAGAUAGGAUACAUACGAGAAAACACAAGGGCUAUUUCCUCACCCUCCAGAAAGAGAGACAGCAGUUUUAGUUUUCACCUAGUGAAGGACUUAUUGAGCAUCUCGCUCAGGCAGCAUGUUUCAGACAGAGACAAUCAGACCUCACAGCACUCCUCUGCAAUGUCUGCAGAAGUUAUCAGUGAAAUGCUACUCCAGCAUGUGAGACAAGUGCUGGCUUUCUUCCUUCUUUUAAGCUUUUUUUCAAUUUCUGCUUCACUGAGUCUUCCUAUUCGCAUUCAUCACACUACUGGGCACUUUACAG
Molecule: long non-coding RNA, 2422 nt
Filed under: Pavo cristatus (Indian peafowl)
Lineage: Eukaryota; Metazoa; Chordata; Aves; Galliformes; Phasianidae
Description: lncRNA (ENSPSTG00000012400.1)
Source: RNAcentral